This 65-nucleotide transfer RNA is filed under the name Cordylochernes scorpioides. Its description in RNAcentral is "tRNA-Gly". It matches the Rfam family "tRNA". From Rfam's summary of the family: Transfer RNA (tRNA) molecules are approximately 80 nucleotides in length. The record is from RNAcentral. Lineage: Eukaryota; Metazoa; Arthropoda; Arachnida; Pseudoscorpiones; Chernetidae.
GGUGGUUCAGUGGUAGAAUGCUCACCUGCCACGCGGGCGGCCCGGGUUCGAUUCCCGCCGAUCCA